Molecule: long non-coding RNA, 1805 nt
Filed under: Homo sapiens (human)
Lineage: Eukaryota; Metazoa; Chordata; Mammalia; Primates; Hominidae
Description: HSALNT0394871
Source: RNAcentral
AAAUUAUUACACCUUUGCAGUUCUACCAAUGAAUAAAAUCCUUUUUCUUUCCCUGUAAUGUAACAAUAAUAAAAUUAAUUCUUGCAUUUUCAUUAGCAAUUAACUUUUAUAUUUGCCCAAAUUUCGGAAUAUCGUCCUGAAAUUAUUGCAACUUGCAUGAUGAAACAAUGUAAUGGGGUUCUAGUUACCAUGGAAUGUUUUAGAAUGUGUUAGGAUUCUACACAGGCCUUACUUCUAACAGAAUACUUUUUCAUCGAGUUCACACACCAUAGCACUUGAAUGGGGUGGUACUUCACAAACCACCCUAUGGGUGGAGACUAGACCACAAGACCCCUUAAAGAACUUUCCAAUUAUGACUUUUUUUUUUUAUGAUUUAAAAAAUUGGAAAUUUCCAGGUAACUGAAAAACAAUGGAGAAAAAUAAAGAAAAAAAAAAUCUACACAAAUGCAAGGCCCUCAAUAUGACUUAAGACAGAGAAUAUCCAGAGUUUAAAUAACAGUAAGUAAAAAAGGAAAAAUCACUUAAUCCCAGCACUUGUCUCUGCUGCCCACACCCCAGUCCCACCUUGCUGCCUGGCAAUGCCCUGAACAAAGGCCAACAAAAGAGAGAAGAGGAAAGGCAAUGCAGGCCCAGCAGCAGGUCUAAAACCACUGCCAGAAUGGGAUACUAAAUCCACCCCUAGUUUGCAAAUGCAAAAUCAAAACCAAAUGUCCAGGUGAGACGAGAAGAGACAUUUAAAAGUUUGCAUGAUUUGAAGGGGCAAUCUUCAAAAUACUUGGUUCUUGCGGAAGCACAAAGCAGGCAGGAAGGAAGAAGAAUUGAGUUUACAGCAAAUGACUGCAACUCUGCAGCCUCCCUCACCACUGGCUCUCUGUCCGUCUGACAGUUGUUUGUAAACUCCAGAAGGGAGAAAGGUGGCAUUAUGAACCUAGCCUGCCCUGUAAGACAUGAAUUUCCAUCCUGAAGUAAAUAAGAAAUCAUGGGAACAGCGGCAAUGGAGUCUGCUGAAUUCUUAGCUUGAUGUGUGUACACAGAAGCCUUGACCACGCACUUUGUCCCCAUGGCUAGUAUCAGUGUGUUAAAAGAUGUGAAUUUGUUUAUUCUCCCUUGAUCUACUUUUUGUAUAAAUUCUUCACAGGGGGUUACUACGAGAAACUGUGAUGGAGGAAGUUGUUAUCGCUAAUGGCUCUGAAGGUUGUUAACGUUAAUGGAUUAGAACUGGAGGCGUGUUAAACUCAGUGAUUUCAGGUAGCAGGGGAAUUAAAUAAAAGAUUUUCUAGGCUCUGGCUGGAAUUUCAGAGUUCAAAUCACAUUAAUACUAUUUGAUCAAAUCUACUGAAAGAACAAUCCAAGCACAAAUCCUGUCGUUGCCCUCGGCCCCCAGGAUUCACUGGCUGGUUGACUCAUCUUAUCUGUGUUUAAAUAGGUUUAGAUUUGGGUAACGCUGAUUAAAAUUCAGAUUGAUGUUUUCAAAUUUAUUGAAUACUAUAUAUUUUAUUAUACUUUCUUUGAAAAAAUUAAUGUAAUUGUCAAUUACAGGUCAUUGCUUUAUGACUUAAGUAUCUUCCCAGAACAUGAAGAUACUUAUUAGGAAAUAACUUAUUGACUUCAUCAAAAACUACAAAAUUACAAUAUUCUUCUUUGGAAAAUAAAUGUUAAAAUCACAUAAUUAUACAUAAUCUAUAGUCAAAUGUUCAGGUCAAAAAUCACACUAAUCAGUUUUAAAGUUAAAACAUUAAAAAUAUAAAAUAAAAUAAUUAAAAGCCUCUUCUUCAACCUUCGCCAUUAUCAUCGUCAUCAUCAAC